UUGAGUCAAAACAAGGUUUAGCAACUUAUUAUAUCUAUUUACCGCUUUGUAGUGUAGUAGUAGACCUGAUUACUAAUAAGUUGCUUCAUCUUUUUGUUGUUGUUUGUAAGACAUGUAAUCUUUUGGUCUAUAUUUUAAGACCCGUUCUAACUUGUGCAUAUCUAUGACAUUAUUAGACUACAUAUUCCCAAGGCUAGACCACCCAAAGUAUGAUCAAUUGGUUGGUGUAUAGAUCAAGAAUAGAGUACAUCUUAAUACACUUCAUUUGAUGGAAACAUGAUAUUUAUUUGUUGGGAUUAUCCUCAUUUAAUUUAAUUGUGGUACUUCAUUGAUUUCAGCAAAGAACUUUUUUGUCUAGUAACUUCAUAGUUCCAUGAGAUGUAUCCAUGACCGAUUUGUUAGCAGCCGGUGGUAUAGUACGUGGUACUCAUGGAGAGAAAGAUUACUUUUAGUUCAAUAAAUUUAGAAUGGUGCAUUUUCUUAUCCUUUUCACAAAAUCACAAAACUUAAUAUUUUCUUCUCACAAAACUACAAAGUCAGUUACAUUCUCCAUUCCAACACAAUGGGUCGAAGCCCAUCUGAUGGGUCAUGCACGGCAAUUGCAUGUCUCCUGGGAAUCUCGUUUCUAAAUUUUUUCCCUCCAAUCCUCCUUCUAAUUAAGUUUAUGUACUUUCCAAUUUCCUACCCCCUCUGAUCUAUUGUUGUCCUGCCGAUAAGGAUAAGAAGCAAUUAAUGAUGGUGUCUUGUUGAAGUUUUU
This 757-nucleotide long non-coding RNA is filed under the name Setaria viridis. RNAcentral describes it as "long non-coding RNA (SVIR_LNC009474)". Lineage: Eukaryota; Viridiplantae; Streptophyta; Magnoliopsida; Poales; Poaceae. The record is from RNAcentral.